CUAAAUUAAUUGCAUGGAAUUUUACAGAUUCGUAAGAAAUAUAGAAAAACAAAAUAAUUCGUAUAAGUCUGAGCGCGAGAGUGAUAAAUUUUUGUGUUAAGGGUGCUGCAAAAUGCAAAAUAAAUGAUUCAAAAUUCAGCUAUGUGAAAGCUAAAAAAUGUGUAUUUGAAAACAAAAACAAAAAACUGUUCAGAUGAUGAUUUAUAUAUAUGCAACAAAAUGUAAUGCAAUUUGCAACAAAAUUAAUUAAUGUUUACAAGAAAAACUAAAAAACUUAAAUUUUCCAUAUUGUCUUACCACAAAAACAAAAAAAAAACAAAACACCUGAAUUAAAUUUUAAAACUCUUACUAUUCUUAAUUAUCCGUUUUCUAAAGCUCUAUAACUCACAUUUGUGUGUGUAUGUAUAUGCAUAUGUGUACAUACAUACAAGUUAUAUGUAUACAUACGUAUUCGUAUGUUAUCUAAUAUGUGCAUUAUUACUUAGCUUUGUUUGAAACAAACUUAAUUAUAUGCAUACAAAUAAAUAUACAAGCAUAAACAUACUUAAUCCAUACAUACAUACAUACAAAUAUGUUAUGUAUUUUGGAAAUGGCAUAGAAAUUAAAAAAAGAAAAGAAUAUUUUGUAAAGUUAUUUGAAUAAAUAAAAAGAUAAAUAAAAUUAAUUGUUGAUUAUAAACCAACAGAUAAAUUUA
Molecule: long non-coding RNA, 694 nt
Organism: Bactrocera dorsalis (oriental fruit fly)
Lineage: Eukaryota; Metazoa; Arthropoda; Insecta; Diptera; Tephritidae
Exons: 2
Source: RefSeq, a predicted model, not a curated record